RNAcentral lists this long non-coding RNA (1378 nucleotides) under Nothobranchius furzeri (turquoise killifish). Its description in RNAcentral is "lncRNA (ENSNFUG00015005245.1)". The record is from RNAcentral. Lineage: Eukaryota; Metazoa; Chordata; Actinopteri; Cyprinodontiformes; Nothobranchiidae.
CAAGUAAAAGAAAACAAAAGAAUUAAAAUCAUUUCAGGAAGACAAAACCAUGGCACAUAUUUUAGCUGGUCGAAACGACUGCUAUUCUUUUUGCAUAGAAUAACUUGGGUAACGCUACGCGGCGGCGCCAGCUACCCAGCUCGAUUCAUCAGAGCGUGUAACACUAGCCAUUCCUCUCUGCGCCAUCUCGGUGGGUGCUGGAUAUUUUUUAAACACAACUGGAAAACUACUAGAAAACAGAAGUUGAUAAGGCACUUGGACUUGAUCCUUUUAGGCAUCUGUCUCGCUCUGAUCUCACCAGCUUUCCAAGGGUUAUGAGUCUUUUGGUCUUCCUUUCCAAAUCUUUUGAAGGUAACAGCACUUUUCCCCACCCACUCCGUUUGCCUGUUUUCUCCUACACUGUCGGAAACUUUUUUCUUUAAUUUUUCUUAUUUUUUUUUAUUUUAUAACUGCAAGUAUCAAAAGCUAAAAUAGCCAAAAAUAGAUUUUUGAUUUAUGUUUUAAUCUCCAGCACCCUGUAAAAUUAUCUUACUUUUUUGUUCUGUAUUUUCAUAUGCAAUGACAGAUAUCUACAUUUUUAUAUAUUUAUAUUUAUAAGACGUAUGUAUAAAGCAAUUUGAACAGGCAGGCAUGGCUUUCACAUCCUAUAUUUUCUUGAGAGUUGAACAAAGGACUGUGGGCUCAGAAGCUAGACUACAAUCAGAGGGAGGUGUGACACAUUGUGGAUGCACUUUUUGAAUUUUUGUUUGGCAUGUAUUAGAUUCUAUUAGUAAAAUAAGAAAAAUUGCCUAUGCAGGAAGGCUCGGAUUAUGCCAACCUCAAACCAAGAAAUACAUUAAAAGAAAGUUCUUCCAAAAUUUGUAAAUGAAUUAAAAAAAUGCAAUAAAAUAAAAUCUUGGCUGAUGAAAAAACUCAAUAAACAAAAUUUUUAAUUUGCAGAACUUUAGUGUCCUUUCCCAGCAAUGUAAGAAUGAAGCUGGAAUUAAGAAGCAUGAAAAUUUAGUGUUAAUAUCCUGUGUUAACCUCAUGGAAGAAAAUAAUGUAGCAAUAAGGGGUCAACGAAAAUCUAGCUGACUGGGCGUCUGUUCCAGCUGAAGGCAGGCACCAAAAGUUCACACCCUUCCCAAGUCUAAAAUCACAAAGAGAGCCCUCUGCGAGACAGAUGCAUAAUUGCAGAUAUAUAUACCUCACUGGAAAACCCUUUGGCUAAAAACGCACGCAAUACUUUUAUUUUUAAUCUUUGUGAUCACAGCUCGGCUAACUCAUUGAGAUGUUCUUCUAAAUACAUCAGGCACUGGAUAGUAGAUGUAGUGUGGACGGGGGCGUAGCAAUGGCCAGUCGCUAAUAAGCACUACCGCUGUGUCCCCGAAGCCUCAGC